This 484-nucleotide ribosomal RNA is filed under the name uncultured bacterium. RNAcentral describes it as "partial 16S ribosomal RNA". It matches the Rfam family "Bacterial small subunit ribosomal RNA", at positions 30 to 507 of the family's 1533-position model. The record is from RNAcentral.
AUUGAACGCUGGCGGCAGGCCUAACACAUGCAAGUCGAGCGGAUGAAGGGAGCUUGCUCCUGGAUUCAGCGGCGGACGGGUGAGUAAUGCCUAGGAAUCUGCCUGGUAGUGGGGGAUAACGUCCGGAAACGGGCGCUAAUACCGCAUACGUCCUGAGGGAGAAAGUGGGGGAUCUUCGGCCCUCACGCUAUCAGAUGAGCCUAGGUCGGAUUAGCUAGUUGGUGGGGUAAAGGCCUACCAAGGCGACGAUCCGUAACUGGUCUGAGAGGAUGAUCAGUCACACUGGAACUGAGACACGGUCCAGACUCCUACGGGAGGCAGCAGUGGGGAAUAUUGGACAAUGGGCGAAAGCCUGAUCCAGCCAUGCCGCGUGUGUGAAGAAGGUCUUCGGAUUGUAAAGCACUUUAAGUUGGGAGGAAGGGCAGUAAGUUAAUACCUUGCUGUUUUGACGUUACCAACAGAAUAAGCACCGGCUAACUUCGUG